RNAcentral lists this ribosomal RNA (253 nucleotides) under uncultured bacterium. Its description in RNAcentral is "partial 16S ribosomal RNA". It matches the Rfam family "Bacterial small subunit ribosomal RNA", at positions 524 to 776 of the family's 1533-position model. The record is from RNAcentral.
UACGAAGGGGGCUAGCGUUGUUCGGAAUUAUUGGGCGUAAAGAGCUCGUAGGCGGUCUGUCGCGUCUGCUGUGAAAACCCGAGGCUCAUCCUCGGGCCUGCAGUGGGUACGGGCAGACUAGAGUGCGGUAGGGGAGAUUGGAGUUCCUGGUGUAGUGGUGGAAUGCGCAGAUAUCAGGAGGAACACCGAUGGCGAAGGCAGAUCUCUGGGCCGUAACUGACGCUGAGGAGCGAAAGCGUGGGGAGCGAACAGG